UACAGAGACUGCGAGCGUUAUUCGGACUCACUGGGCGUAAAGGGUGCGCAGGCGGCCAAGUGUGUGAGGCGUGAAAGCCCGGGGCUUAACCCCGGAAUUGCACCUCAAACUACAUGGCUAGAGCAUUGGAGAGGGUAGCAGAAUUCACGGUGUAGCAGUGAAAUGCGUAGAUAUCGUGAGGAAUACCAGAGGCGAAGGCGGCUACCUGGACAAUUGCUGACGCUCAGGCACGAAAGCGUGGGGAGCAAAAGGG
This 253-nucleotide ribosomal RNA is filed under the name uncultured bacterium. RNAcentral's name for it is "partial 16S ribosomal RNA". It matches the Rfam family "Bacterial small subunit ribosomal RNA", at positions 524 to 776 of the family's 1533-position model. The record is from RNAcentral.